Molecule: ribosomal RNA, 651 nt
Filed under: Klebsiella pneumoniae
Lineage: Bacteria; Pseudomonadati; Pseudomonadota; Gammaproteobacteria; Enterobacterales; Enterobacteriaceae
Description: bacterial SSU rRNA
Rfam family: Bacterial small subunit ribosomal RNA
Source: RNAcentral
CUAGGAAUCUGCCUGGUAGGGGGGGACAACGUUUCGACAGGAACGCUAAUACCGCAUACGUCCUACGGGAGAAAGCAGGGGACCUUCGGGCCUUGCGCUAUCAGAUGAGCCUAGGUCGGAUUAGCUAGUUGGUGAGGUAACGGCUCACCAAGGCGACGAUCCGUAACUGGUCUGAGAGGAUGAUCAGUCACACUGGAACUGAGACACGGUCCAGACUCCUACGGGAGGCAGCAGUGGGGAAUAUUGGACAAUGGGCGAAAGCCUGAUCCAGCCAUGCCGCGUGUGUGAAGAAGGUCUUCGGAUUGUAAAGCACUUUAAGUUGGGAGGAAGGGCAUUAACCUAAUACGUUAGUGUUUUGACGUUACCGACAGAAUAAGCACCGGCUAACUUCGUGCCAGCAGCCGCGGUAAUACGGAGGGUGCAAGCGUUAAUCGGAAUUACUGGGCGUAAAGCGCGCGUAGGUGGUUUGUUAAGUUGAAUGUGAAAGCCCCGGGCUCAACCUGGGAACUGCAUCCAAAACUGGCAAGCUAGAGUAUGGCAGAGGGUGGUGGAAUUUCCUGUGUAGCGGUGAAAUGCGUAGAUAUAGGAAGGAACACCAGUGGCGAAGGCGACCACCUGGGCUAAUACUGACACUGAGGUGCGAAAGCGUGG